AUGAAUGCAUCUUUGAAAAAAGAUUCAUCGUAUACUUGGCAGAGUAUCAUGGCGGGUAUGAAAACCUUCAAGCUAGGGGCGAUUUGGCGACCAGGGAAUGGUGCUUCAAUUGAUAUUUGGUCUGACCAGUGGAUACCCACAAGCCAUGACCGCAAGGUAAUGACUCCUAGGGGGCUAUGUUUGUUACAGAAAGUCCAGGACUUGAUUGAUCCAAUUUCUGGAAAUUGGGAUGAGCAGCUCGUGCGUGAACUUUGGCUGGUUGAUGCAGAGAGGAUAUUGCAAAUUCCGUUGUCAUCUCAUGGACAAUCAGACUUCAUCUCAUGGCAUUUUUCGAAGUCAGGUUGCUUUACUGUCCGCUCAGCGUAUCAUAUUACAUGGAAAAAUGAAUAUAGGACACGAGCUCGAUUGGACUCGGGAGGAGGCAGAAUUGAUCCACAUCCUGUGUGGAAGUUGCUUUGGGGAAGAACUGUCCCUCCUAAAGUACAUGUGUUCAAUUGGCGGGUGUUACAUGGGAUCGUUUCAUGCUACUGCACAUUAACAGAUCGUCAUAUGAAGUCCCCUGUAAUAUGCCCAGUUUGCCGAACUACCCCGGAGGAUCUCCGCCAUAUGUUGUUUACAUGUGACAGAUCAAAGAAGGUGUGGGAGGAACUCGGUUUGAAACAUACCAUUGAAAAUGCUAUAGCACAAGAGAGGUCAGGUUCAGUUAUUUUAGAAAAAGCUACUCUGUUCGGACCUCGAGGGAGAAGCAAGGAUCCCGAUUUCAAAUGGAGUUGA
This 774-nucleotide ribosomal RNA is filed under the name Triticum aestivum (bread wheat). RNAcentral describes it as "partial small subunit ribosomal RNA". Lineage: Eukaryota; Viridiplantae; Streptophyta; Magnoliopsida; Poales; Poaceae. The record is from RNAcentral.